RNAcentral lists this ribosomal RNA (245 nucleotides) under Acinetobacter ursingii. Its description in RNAcentral is "partial 16S ribosomal RNA". It matches the Rfam family "Bacterial small subunit ribosomal RNA", at positions 85 to 333 of the family's 1533-position model. Lineage: Bacteria; Pseudomonadati; Pseudomonadota; Gammaproteobacteria; Moraxellales; Moraxellaceae. The record is from RNAcentral.
AAGCUGACGAGUGGCGAACGGGUGAGUAAUGUAUCGGAACGUGCCCAGUCGUGGGGGAUAACUGCUCGAAAGAGCAGCUAAUACCACAUACGACCUGAGGGUGAAAGCGGGGGAUCGCAAGACCUCGCGCGAUUGGAGCGGCCGAUAUCGUAUUAGCUAGUUGGUGAGGUAAAGGCUCACCAAGGCGAUGAUACAUAGCCGACCUGAGAGGGUGAUCGGCCACAUUGGGACUGAGACACGGCCCA